UUGAAAGGGAAACGAUUGAAGUCAGUCGUACCGACGGACAAUCAGCCUUUUGAGUGCGAUUCUGUGGGGCAUGAGGAGGAAACCCUCAUGUUUUGCAUAUUUGUGCUCUUUGGGUGUAUUUGUUCGUAUGGUGGGUUAACAUCAAUUUUGGUCGUCAUAAAAUGACGGGAGGAAUGUAGCUUUGGUCUCGUAUUGAAGUGUUAUAGCCUCUGGUAGAUGUGACGACCGGGAUUGAGGAUUGCAACGGAUACCUCUCGGGGCUACUCGCCUGAUCU
RNAcentral lists this ribosomal RNA (275 nucleotides) under uncultured Glomeromycotina. RNAcentral's name for it is "partial 25S ribosomal RNA". The record is from RNAcentral. Lineage: Eukaryota; Fungi; Glomeromycota.